Lynx canadensis (Canada lynx) is the source of this 101-nucleotide long non-coding RNA. RefSeq lists it as uncharacterized. NCBI's taxonomy places the organism in Eukaryota, Metazoa, Chordata, Mammalia, Carnivora, Felidae. The record is from RefSeq and is a predicted model, not a curated record. The transcript is spliced from 3 exons.
CCAUAUAUAAGAAAACAGGCCUAACAUCCAUAUUCAAUGAUGAAAAGCUGGAAGGUUUUCAUACAAUCAGGAACAAGACAAGGAUUCUCACUCUCUCCACU